RNAcentral lists this ribosomal RNA (420 nucleotides) under uncultured bacterium. RNAcentral describes it as "bacterial SSU rRNA". It matches the Rfam family "Bacterial small subunit ribosomal RNA", at positions 355 to 776 of the family's 1533-position model. The record is from RNAcentral.
UGGGGAAUCUUGCGCAAUGGGCGAAAGCCUGACGCAGCGACGCCGCGUGUGCGAUGAAGGUCUUCGGAUCGUAAAGCACUGUCGCCGGGGAAAAAAGCCAGCGUAAGCUGGUGUGAUGGUACCCGGAGAGGAAGCACCGGCUAACUCUGUGCCAGCAGCCGCGGUAAUACAGAGGGUGCGAGCGUUGUUCGGAAUUAUUGGGCGUAAAGCGCAUGUAGGCGGUGAACUAAGUCGCGUGUGAAAGCCCCAGGCUCAACCUGGGAAGUGCGCGCGAAACUGGUUUACUUGAGUGCUGGAGAGGGUGGCGGAAUUCCCGGUGUAGAGGUGAAAUUCGUAGAUAUCGGGAGGAACACCAGAGGCGAAGGCGGCCACCUGGACAGACACUGACGCUGAGACGCGAAAGCGUGGGGAGCAAACAGG